AACGAACGCUGGCGGCAGGCUUAACACAUGCAAGUCGAACGCAUCCUUCGGGGUGAGUGGCAGACGGGUGAGUAACGCGUGGGAAUCUACCCUGAUCUGCGGGAUAGCUCCGGGAAACUGGAAUUAAUACCGCAUAUGUCCUGAGGGACAAAGAUUCAUCGGUUCAGGAUGAGCCCGCGUCCGAUUAGCUAGUUGGUGGGGUAAAGACCUAUCAAGGCGACGAUCGGUAGCUGGUCUAAGAGGAUGAUCAGCCACAUUGGGACUGAGACACGGCCCAAACUCCUACGGGAGGCAGCAGUGGGGGAUAUUGGACAAUGGGCGCAGGCCUGAUUCAGCCAUGCCGCGUGAGUGAUGAAGGUCUUAGGAUUGUAAAGCUCUUUCACCGGGGACGAUAAUGACGGUACCCGGAGAAGAAGCCCCGGCUAACUUCGUGCCAGCCGCCGCCGUAA
This 449-nucleotide ribosomal RNA is filed under the name uncultured bacterium. Its description in RNAcentral is "partial 16S ribosomal RNA". It matches the Rfam family "Bacterial small subunit ribosomal RNA", at positions 29 to 523 of the family's 1533-position model. The record is from RNAcentral.